Molecule: unclassified non-coding RNA, 321 nt
Filed under: uncultured Pezizomycetes
Lineage: Eukaryota; Fungi; Ascomycota; Pezizomycetes
Description: sequence contains ITS1
Rfam family: 5.8S ribosomal RNA (bases 1-105)
Source: RNAcentral
GAAAUGCGAUAAGUAGUGUGAAUUGCAGAAUUCCGUGAAUCAUCGAAUCUUUGAACGCACAUUGCGCCUUCCGGUAUUCCGGGAGGCAUGCCUGUUCGAGCGUCAUCAAAUACACUCAAGCUGGAACUUGUUCUUGUCUUGGAUUUGGAGUUGGAGCUGCCUCGUGUUGUUCCCAUCCGAAAUUCAUCGGCGGAGAUGUCUGUACCGGUAGGCGUAGUAAUCAACUUUAUGUUUCGCCGUUGUGCAAAUGAUCUGCUGCCAUUAACCCCCAUCAUUUUAGAGUUUGACCUCGGAUCAGGUAGGGAUACCCGCUGAACUUAA